RNAcentral lists this ribosomal RNA (113 nucleotides) under Musa acuminata subsp. malaccensis (wild Malaysian banana). Lineage: Eukaryota; Viridiplantae; Streptophyta; Magnoliopsida; Zingiberales; Musaceae. The record is from RNAcentral.
GGGUGCGAUCAUGCUAGCCCUAAAGCACCGGAUCCCAUCAGAACUCCGAAAUUAAGCUUGCUUGGGCGAGAGUAGUACUAGUAUAGGUACCUUGGGAAGUCAUGUUGCACUCC